GUGUCAGCAGCCGCGGUAAGACGAACCGUGCGAACGUUGUUCGGAAUCACUGGGCUUAAAGGGCGCGUAGGCGGUUUACCAAGUCGGGGGUGAAAUCUUUCGGCUCAACCGGAAAAGGGCCUUCGAUACUGGUAAACUUGAGCGAGGUAGGGGCGGAUGGAACUUCCGGUGGAGCGGUGAAAUGUGUUGAUAUCGGAAGGAACGCCGGUGGCGAAAGCGAUCCGCUGGACCUCUUCUGACGCUGAGGCGCGAAAGCCAGGGGAGCAAACGGGAUUAGAAACCCGCGUAGUCC
This 292-nucleotide ribosomal RNA is filed under the name uncultured bacterium. RNAcentral's name for it is "partial 16S ribosomal RNA". It matches the Rfam family "Bacterial small subunit ribosomal RNA", at positions 505 to 796 of the family's 1533-position model. The record is from RNAcentral.